RNAcentral lists this ribosomal RNA (236 nucleotides) under uncultured bacterium. RNAcentral's name for it is "partial 16S ribosomal RNA". It matches the Rfam family "Bacterial small subunit ribosomal RNA", at positions 116 to 354 of the family's 1533-position model. The record is from RNAcentral.
UGUAGAGAAUCUGCCCUGUACUGGGGGACAACAGAGGGAAACUUCUGCUAAUACCCCAUAUGAGCGUACCUGCGAUAGGUAUUCUUGAAAGUUCCGGCGGUACAGGAUGAGUCUGCAUCUGAUUAGCUAGUUGGUGGUGUAAUGGACUACCAAGGCGACGAUCAGUAGCUGGUUUGAGAGGAUGAUCAGCCACAAUGGGACUGAGACACGGCCCAUACUCCUACGGAAGGCAGCAG